This 45-nucleotide non-coding RNA is filed under the name Caenorhabditis briggsae. Its description in RNAcentral is "sRNA CBG29717". It matches the Rfam family "Histone 3' UTR stem-loop". Rfam says of the family: The mRNAs of metazoan histone genes lack a poly-A tail. Lineage: Eukaryota; Metazoa; Nematoda; Chromadorea; Rhabditida; Rhabditidae. The record is from RNAcentral.
CCAACGGCCCUCUUUAGGGCCACCAUUCGAAAAUUCAACUCUAAU